GAUGAAGAACGUAGCGAAAUGCGAUAAGUAAUGUGAAUUGCAGAAUUCAGUGAAUCAUCGAAUCUUUGAACGCACAUUGCGCCCGCCAGUAUUCUGGCGGGCAUGCCUGUCUGAGCGUCAUUUCAACCCUCAUGCCCCUAGGGCGUGGUGUUGGGGGUCGGCCAAAGCCCGCGAGGGACGGCCGGCCCCUAAAUCUAGUGGCGGACCCGUCGUGGCCUCCUCUGCGAAGUAGUGAUAUUCCGCAUCGGAGAGCGAUGAGCCCCUGCCGUUAAACCCCCAACUUUCCAAGGUUGACCUCAGAUCAGGUAGGAAUACCCGCUGAACUUAAGCAUAUCAAUAAGCGGAGGA
Molecule: unclassified non-coding RNA, 348 nt
Filed under: soil metagenome
Description: partial contains 5.8S ribosomal RNA, internal transcribed spacer 2, and large subunit ribosomal RNA
Rfam family: 5.8S ribosomal RNA (bases 1-120)
Source: RNAcentral